RNAcentral lists this ribosomal RNA (494 nucleotides) under uncultured bacterium. RNAcentral describes it as "bacterial SSU rRNA". It matches the Rfam family "Bacterial small subunit ribosomal RNA", at positions 374 to 881 of the family's 1533-position model. The record is from RNAcentral.
GGGGAAACCCUGAUGCAGCAACGCCGCGUGAAGGAUGAAGGUCUUCGGAUUGUAAACUUCUUUGAUGAGGGACGAAAAAAAUGACGGUACCUCAAAAACAAGCCACGGCUAACUACGUGCCAGCAGCCGCGGUAAUACGUAGGUGGCAAGCGUUGUCCGGAAUUAUUGGGCGUAAAGGGCGCGUAGGCGGUUCCUUAAGUCAGAUGUGAAAUCCCGGGGCUUAACUUCGGGCGUGCAUUUGAAACUGGGGAACUAGAGUGCAGGAGAGGUAAGUGGAAUUCCUAGUGUAGCGGUGAAAUGCGUAGAUAUUAGGAGGAACACCAGUGGCGAAGGCGACUUACUGGACUGUAACUGACGCUGAGGCGCGAAAGCGUGGGGAGCAAACAGGAUUAGAUACCCUGGUAGUCCACGCUGUAAACGAUGGAUACUAGGUGUGGGAGGUAUCGACCCCUUCCGUGCCGCAGUAAACGCAAUAAGUAUCCCGCCUGGGGAGU